Ipomoea nil (Japanese morning glory) is the source of this 82-nucleotide transfer RNA. It matches the Rfam family "tRNA". From Rfam's summary of the family: Transfer RNA (tRNA) molecules are approximately 80 nucleotides in length. NCBI's taxonomy places the organism in Eukaryota, Viridiplantae, Streptophyta, Magnoliopsida, Solanales, Convolvulaceae. The record is from Rfam.
GUUAAUAUGUCCGAGUGGUUAAGGAGAUAGACUUGAAACCUAUUGGGCUUUGCCUGUGCAGGUUCGAAUCCUGCUGUUUAUG